AUGGAGUGUGUUAAAAUUGUUAAGAGUAAGGCCUACUUUAAGAGAUACAGAUGACAUUUAGAAGACCAGUGGGUUAAACUGAUUACUAUGCUCAGACACACUUGGUAAUCCAGGAUGAAAAUAAGUAGAACACACCAAAAUUCAGGAUAGUUCAUGCAACUAACAGAGAGAUCAUUUGUCAUAUGGUUUUUGCCCACACAGAAGGGAAUAUGAUUGUCUGCACAGCAUAUGUUCAUGAAUGUCUAAAGUGUAGCAUGAAGGUUGGCCAGCCAGAUUAUGAUGCAGCACAUUGUACUGGCCUGUGCUGACCCGAAGGCCCCUCAAUAGUCUUGGCAUGGACAACACCUAUGAAGGUCAAGUGGAGGUGAGCAGAGAUGGGUAUCACAUGGGAAGCAUUGAUGGUUACUUGGUGCCUUCACUUGCUACUUGCCAGAACUACCAACGGAAAUAAAGGUAGGGGGGCCCUGAAGGGAGGUGUGGAUUGAGGUUUUCUAUCCCUCACAGUUACCAAACAAUUCCCUGGUUCCAAUUCAGAAAGCAGGGAGUUCAAUGCAGAAGCACAUCCUGGGUCAGAAGAUCGCAGAUUAUAUGCAUUACCCAAUGUAAGAAGAUGAAGAUGUUUACAAGAAACAAUUUUCUCAAUACAUAAAGAACAACAUAACUCCAGUCAUGACGGAGAGACAUGUAAGAAAGCUCAUGAUGCUGAACAAGAGAAUCCAGUUCACGAGAGGAAGCCUGGGGAAGAAGUUAAGAAAAGGUGGAACCAUCCCAAGACGUCCCCUGUCCAGAAGAAAGACUGAGUAGCUCAGAAGGCAAGUUUUCUAAGAGCUCAGGAGCAGGCUGCUGAGCGCUAA
Molecule: long non-coding RNA, 854 nt
Filed under: Homo sapiens (human)
Lineage: Eukaryota; Metazoa; Chordata; Mammalia; Primates; Hominidae
Description: non-protein coding lnc-SPINT3-2:1
Source: RNAcentral